Molecule: long non-coding RNA, 605 nt
Filed under: Volvox carteri
Lineage: Eukaryota; Viridiplantae; Chlorophyta; Chlorophyceae; Chlamydomonadales; Volvocaceae
Description: long non-coding RNA (VCAR_LNC001005)
Source: RNAcentral
UGGGGUCUUGUGCUGUGUAUAUAUUCAUUGCUUAACAGCUCUCACAGUGAAGGCUUCGCUUGCGUUCCCUAUUUGGCAGGAACGCCUCUUAGGGACGCAGUGGGAAUUUGAAGCUGGCGGGCACGCUGCUUGAGGUAUGCUGUGAGUAUAUACUGUAUAUUGUGUGGUAUAAGAUACCUGCACGUGGGGUGCUUGGACCCAUACGGCUAUGGCUUCAUGCAGUUCACCACCGGCAUCGCCGGAAUCCACCAGCUUUGGCCGCACACAACAGACAAUUCAGAUCCAGGUAGGUAGUGUCUUUGGGGAAACAUAGCUGUUUUCUGGUGAGCUGAGCACCUGGCAGACCCAGGGGCCAGGCACCUGGCAUUUAUUACGACCGCGUGCCGCACCACGUGAGAAGGUUUCACUCCAUGCGCUUGCAUUCCGCCAGGGGCCUACUGCUGUUCGGCCUUGCCAAAAACUGCUUUUGGAGCUGACCAGGUGAAACUCUCGAAGCCAGUGCCCCGUCGUUCGAUGGAUGGAUGUAACUGACGGCCGCUCACUGUUAUCCGUUCUUACUGCCAGCAUCCUCCGCCCCGGGCUCUGACCGCCGUCUUCGCCGUCAC